Molecule: long non-coding RNA, 6546 nt
Organism: Felis catus (domestic cat)
Lineage: Eukaryota; Metazoa; Chordata; Mammalia; Carnivora; Felidae
Exons: 7
Source: RefSeq, a predicted model, not a curated record
ACUCACGAAACUGUGAGCUCGUGACCUGAGCCGAGAUCAAGAGUCGGACUCUUAACUGACAGAGCCACCCACGCGCCCCUAAACCUUGUGUGUUUUCUAUGAAUCCUGCUUUGGUCGCCGAAGCCCCAUCCAUGAUUCUCUUUGACACAAGCUUCUCCCUACUUUGGGCUUCUCGGGUUGUUAUGGGACAGCAAGAUUCUCGGAGACCCUUUGUCUGGCUGAGAAGAUCCACCAGCAAUCACUACCUUAAAUCUUCCAGAGGUCCUGGAGUUCUUGCACUCCCGAUUCAAAGGGGGGACAUGUUCACACUCUUACUGGGAACAACGCUAGUUGCACAUGGAAAGGAACCCACCUUGAGGGUAAGAAACUAAGGCUGAAAGAGAAGGACUUGGCCACAGUCAUAAACCAAAUGGUUAACAAAGCAAGAAGGAGCCAUUUUAUCUCUUCUAUUAAAGUUCAGAGUGCUUUCUGCAACAUCUCUCCCCUACGUGAUGUUGGAAAGGAACACGGCUUUAAAAUACGUUGUUCGGAAUAUCAGAGAUAAAUUAUCUUUGAAGCAAUCUUUUUUAUCAUUAUUCAUGUCAUCGUUAUCCCCCUUCAUUAUGUUCAGCAGAGCUGACUGUGCUAGAAAGAUCUAAAGUCAGAGAACAACAAUCAGUGCAGAGUUGGAAAGGAAGCCGCGGUGCCUGUGUUUCUGGAACAUCUGGAGGAAAAAGCAAAUGCCCUUCCUUUUGGGGUUUUAGGGAUCUUUUACUUUCCAUGAGUUUCCUCCCAAGUCAUAUAACAAACGCCUUCGAAACACCUUCGACACGUCCGACUCUAUUCUCCGCGUUGGAGAUUGGCCUUUGAGGUGCUCACGAGGUGGGAGUGUGGACAGUUGAUGGUUGGAAGUAUAAGCACGUAGUAGAACCGAGAAAGCAGCCCUGCUGGGAGCAGGUGAACAACACCUUGAAGAAAGAGCAGAAAUUCGCUAGGAGUUGGUAACUGGAAGACGACCUGGAAGAACAGACAAGACACGCUUCUCCGGCUGUUCCGGUUACUGAUCUCUCUGACUCCUGACAGAUGGACCAUCAGACCCUCACCUCCAAGCCUGUUGCCGGUUGAAGCCACGCUCCUGAUUCCAUGUGUGCAAACUCACUUCAGAUUCUCAACCCAACUGUAAGGACAAGACUCCAAGGCCGAUCUGACGGAGACGAGGAAGAUACGAGACUGGCCACAUCUUUAAAGAGCAGGGGUCCCUCUGAACUGAACCACGGCCAACCUGUCCCACCAGGCGGAGACGACGAGCGAGAUUGCGCAUUCUGCGUCGGGCGGGCUCUGGGCGUGGCCUUGGGGCUCGUGGUUCUCAGCGAGGUGCCGGCCAGUUCCUGGGGACAGGUUCCAGAAAUGCUGGUCCACAGCCCGUCCCUGGAUCUGCUGAGCCUCAGCUCCAGAACAGGGCCUGGGAUCUGAUCUGCGCUCUCCGCCAGUGGUCUUAACGUGGCAUCCCCCUGCACACUUCUGCAGUGUCCCCCUCACAGGGCUGCUCUGGCUCAGGCUUGCAGGUCCAGUUUGUGACCCCGGAGGGGAACGUCUUCAACAACCUCGGCUCUGGUGUUACGUAGAUCGCCGAUCUGGACAUCCCCAUAAAAGCAUGGGCUUUGUGGUGGUGGCAGAUUGAUGUGCCAAUAAAUCCUGCUUGCUUCGCGUUCAAAGCUGUGUGACCUUGGACGUAAGCCCCUAAGACUCGGUUUCCUCGUCUGUGAAAUGGGCGUAAUAGGAAAACUGAUCUCGCAGGCUGGCGGGCAGAGGUCGAAGGUGGCGACGUAGUCAAAGGCAGAGGCGUUUCCGGAGGUCCCUGGGUGUUGGCAAGUGUCGCCCUCAGCCCAAUCUACGUCCUUUAAGACCUGCCCCAGACCGGCAUCCAUCCUCCGAGCCAACUCUCUUCACAUCCUCCCUGAAGCCCGUGACCCUGCCCCUGAACAUCUCAUCUCCAAGCUAAACAUCCCUGUGGACCCACGCGAGCCGGUGGUGUUUGCCAUUCCCGGAGGUAUCUCAUUUUACAGCCGGGCAAACCCCAGCAUGCCAAGUUCACGUCCUCGCAAAGUCAUGCGGUGACAGAAAUGUCCGGGCAGCAGGUGGCAAAAUGGUGUUGUUAUCGGAACCCCACAGAUAAUCAGGCCUCGCUUCUAUAAUUCUCCAUCUAGUUCGCGGUUUCGAAUUUGCAAGGGCUUUCUGCGCCCCUUACCUCGUCGUUCAGCCCUCCAAGGCCCCUGCGCGGGGUGAGGUCGUUGGGGGAGCUGAACGCCACGCCCUUGGGUAGGACCUCGCCUUUUUGAAACGUUUCCACGUCCAUGCUGGCCCUGGGUCUUUCUCGCACCCUCCGGAGAUGGAAAGGGCAGGAAUUAUCAGAGGAAGAAACCGAGAGACGGAGCGGGCUGGCACGGGUCCCACGGAGCCGUUGACACAUUCAGGUGUCGGACUGGGACCCAGGGUCCCUUCAACACCUGCGCUGGUCCUUGGCCUGACUUUCUUCUCCUUUUUUCUCCUCCCGUUCUGGGCUGUGAGGACAAAACUGGCAAACAAUGCCCCCAAACUGUGUUCUAGUCAGUAAGAACGACACAGCUUCCAAAACUACUGCUGUUUUUAAAUUUAUUGACCUGAGUCAUUACAUCCUUCACUCAAGGGCAAGGUCUAGCCGCACCAUCACACCUGUGUACGCGUUCUGACCGGCACGAGGCCCCACAGCACGCACCCAAUGCCUCCAGGGCAGACCGGAUGGCCGCCGUGGCUCAGGUUCAAGUCUGGGCCGAGCCUGAGCGCUCCUCCCCCCCAAGUGGGGGUCAAGAGACUUGGCCAUCUGUGGACUCCCUCCCUUUUGCUUCCUGCUCAUUGGCAGACCCUAGGGCUGGAGCUGGUGGCCGUGAGCCUGUCGGCCUGCCCAGUGACUCCUGCUCCGGCCGUGGCUGGGCUCCUUUCCCGUCCCCGAGGGAAAGAGGAGACACAGACUCCACGUAGCCCCUUGUGCCUCCCGCAUCACGGAGGGGACUGCUCGGGCUGGGGACGCAGCCAGCCGUGUUGGGAGUGGUCUGUUGGCUCAGGGGGGCGGAAAUGGAGGGACGGGAAGCCAGUCUGCAGAUCAGCAGGGGAGAAUCCUCCCCCACCCCUGCCCCAGGUGGCGUCCCUGUAAAAGUGUCGUCGUGCCUGUCCAGGUGUCGCUGGGGAUAGAAGCUUUGGAAACAGAAUCACAGCACAGGUGGAAGACCGAACAAAGUCAAGUGUAGGCAGAAACUGAGGGUGUCUGUGGGGAUUAUUUCAAGGAAGCAAAAGGGUAAAGAAUAAAGGAUCAGGGCUCUGCCCCUGGUUCAUUGCUUUCUCCUUCCCGUCCCUAUUUCAGGCUUCUGUCUUUUGGUCGCUGUGGGUACCGUUCACCCCCCCCCAUCGUAUCUGUAAGUGGCUUGGUUGUGUCUUCGGUAGAGUUGACCCCCUGAAUUCUGUGUGUGUGGUGAUGGGUCAGGGCGUGAUGAGCUCACGAAGCACGAGCGAGUCUAGAAAAGGCAAGGUCAGGUUGAAGCCGAGGCUGGGGAGGAAACCAUACCGGGGAACCAACGGGGGGAUGGGCGGAGGGAGGCACGAGGAAGAUCCGGUGAUUCUGCGCCCGGUACGUUUGCGUCGUUGCGGAGUUUGUCAACUGAGACUGGCUUCUGAUCCUUUUUGUUUUCUUUCUCUCAGCGAGGCUUCCCUCCCCUCACUGUUUUGUUCUUUCCAAGAUACACCUGUUGAGGGCUAACGUCUCAAGUGACUAUUGAAAGAGAGCUAGCAGACUGGUUUCCCGAUGUUGGAAGUGCUUUGGAAGAUGUUCAGUCUUGAGCAACAUUGCGGGAAGGAAGACACUCGGAUUUCGCCGAGUUGGACUCGAGUCUCGGUCUUACUUCUUUUUUUUUUUUUUAAUUAAUAUAUAUUUUUUCAUAGCAGUUUUCAGUUCACAGCAAGAUUGGGCCGAAGGGACGGAGAUUUCCCAUGUAUGCUCUGUGCACACGCCUGGACAGCUCCCUGCCCCACUGACAUCCGCCACCCCCCCCCGCCCCCCACACUAGAGUUGGUACAUUUGUCUUAAUUGAUGAACCUACAUUGACACAUCAUUAUCACCCCAAGUCCAUAGCUGGCUGGAGGGUUCACUCGGGGUUAUGCGUUGUAUGGGUUUGGACAAAUGGGUAAUGUCAUGUAUCCAUCAUCAGAGAGACCCAUGGAGUAGUUUCACUGCUCUAAAAAUCCUCUCUGCUCUGACAGUUCACCCCUAACUCCUCCCUGACCCCUGGGCACCACUGAUCUUUUUAUCGCUUCCAUAGCUUUGCCUUUUCCAGAAGGGCAUAUGUUGGAAUGGCCUUGCUUUUUUAUGAUUAGGUCGAACCAUGUGAAACUGACAUUUUGUAUAAGUCCACAUCGGCUGGAUGUGUCGCCGGGCAUCUCCCACGCCCUCCUGCCCGUGUCCGUGGGUCCUACUGCAGAGUCAAGCCCCUUUUACCAUCCCAGCUUCCCUACUCAGUCCCCACGUCCUAUAGUGUCUGCCUGUGAAGUCUCUAGAAUCAUGCUGGUUUUCUCUUUCUCUCUGGUAUUGUCUCUGUCCAGACCCUCAUCCUGAUCCGGCUGGGCUCUUGCAAUCACCCCCGAGUGUUUUCCAUUCCUCUUAAUGGAAGCAGAGGUAAUGUUUAAAAUCUAGCUCUAGAUCAAGAUCGACCCUCCCCCGCCCCCCCCCCCCACCAUGGAUUAUUCUCUGCUGGAUGACUUCCCCUGCCUUCCCACUGCCUGUGAGUCAGGACCUGGAUGCCACAGCAGGGCCACCGGCAGGGUCUUGUGAUCUGGACCCUCCCUCCACCCUCCAGCUCUGCUCCCUGACUCCCCUCUGCAGACGCAGGCACCCAGCCCUCACACGCUCCCCACCUUCCCCACGCUCGGUGCCUUUGCGUACAUUCUGCUCUUUGUCUUAAUGGCCUCCCCCCUCCCCCUGAAAAAAUCCUGUUCCUCGCCCAAGACCCAGCUCAUCCCCUCCUUGCCCUCAACAUCCGGGUCUCUCGGCAUUUCCUGUUGUGCGUUUGCGCGACUGUAUCCUGCACUUGACCACGAGCCAGGAGCGAGGACUCUGCCUUAUUUAUCUCUGCGUCCCCAGUGCCAGCAUUUGGAAGAAGCACUGUGUGUGUACCCUGAUCAACGUUCUCUACCAACCGUUCAGGGCCACCAUCAAUCUCCCGCGACGCCAGUCAAUCAGUCCCAAAGCUGGCAGAGGAGGGGAGGAAAAGCCAUGUGAAGAUUCAGGGAGGAGACUGGCCACCCGCAAGCCAGGGGCCUCGGGGGAAACCAAACCUGCCAGCCCCUUGAUCUUGGACUUCCAGCCUCCAGAACUGCGAGAAGCAUCCGUCUGUUGCGUAGCCCUUAGGAGGGUAUGAGGAACCGAACUGCACAGCAGUCGAGUGACUUUCAAAACGCUGCACAGCUCCGAAGGGCCGGAGUUUGAUCUCAAUCUCGAGUCCCUUGGCAACAUAGGAGAAUGGCUGGAGGGGACACGUGGGCUGUCAGGCCGGCCUGGAUUAUACGGCAGUAGAGAGGCUAUCCCACCAGUUGAGAAGAUUGAGGGAAAAUAAGAAAAAGGUAAGCUGGUAGAAAGCAGUAUUUUGUGGGCUAAAGAGUGGCGUGGCAAGGCCGCCACUGGCCAAGGAAUCCUUCCCGGGCUGAGCUGUCUUUCUGUGACCCAUUCUGUCUACUGGACCUUGCACUCCAGAUCCCUCCGGCGGCCAUGUUCACACUUGGAUUCGGGCCUCCGGAAGCUGCACCUGUGGGUUCUGGCCCCGCCUCUAACUGGGGUCUCGGUGCCCACCCAUUCCCGCCUGGCCAGAUACUCUCGGCCUUGGGUUUUAUAAUGAAAUUCUCCCAUCCCUGCUCUACCCGUUGAGCUGUCUGCUCAUCUCCUGCCUCCAACCUGUCUCCCCAUCUCUCUGAUCCCGUGCUGGGCGUCACCCUCUGACUGCACCCCCGUGGGGCGCCCCGGAAAACCUUGCCUCAAGGAGUUGGCCUCUUGGCUGAGCUUUGGGGCCAGGACCCAGCCCCAGCAGUCCGUGGCCCUUUCCCUGUUGACAUUGUCCUGUCUUCUGGCUUCUGGUGCCUUCUUGGAUCCCACUGCGCUCCCGUCCGCUCUGUCCCGCUGACCUGCUCUUCAGCACACCAGGACAUCCCAGCCGGAAAUUUUUGACCUCUUCCAGCCAGCAGGAGCACUCAGCCUGACCCAGACGCCUCUCCCCGCCUGACCCCGAGGAACCGCAACAUUUCCCAAGUCAGCAGCCACGUCUUCCAAAGGGUUACUCUGGCCUUUUCCCGCCAGGGUGGAUUAUACCUGCGACAGAAGUUGUUCACUGGAGAACCCUUUGCUGUGCCUGAAAUGGUUUUCAGGUGGCAAGAAUGCACUUGAUUCAUGGACAGGCAUUUUCCACUGGAGAGGACAAAUUUUAAGUCCCUUUUCUGCACUGCCGUAAGUCAAAGGACUGUCAUAUUAAAAAACAGUAGGGGAAACGUGAA